AUUUGUUAAGUGCUUACUAUGUGCAGAGCACUGUUCUAAGCAAUGGGGGAGAUACAGGGCGAUCAGGUUGUCCCACGUGGGGCUCACAGUUUUAAUCCCCAUUUUACAGAUGAGGUAACUGAGGCCCAGAGAAGUUAAGUGACUUGCCCACAGUCACAGAGCUGACAAGUGGCAGAUCUGGGAUUCGAACCCAUGACCUCUAACUCCCAAGCCCAGGUUCUUUCCACUGAGCCAUGCUGCUUCUCUACUACAAAAAGAACCCUUUGGCCUCAGUCACCAGGCUAUAUCAGAUGAAAGUGUAUUUCAGUGGCCUGAAUUACCCAGAUAGUUUGCGUGUAUAAAUCCAACGAUGAUCUCAGAGAAAUCAAAGGAGGUUAACACUGCCCCAAGCGAGUCAGAAUGGCCUAAAUGACUGCAUAAUUGAAAAACGGCUUUUUUCCCUUUUAGAAUCUUUGACCCCUGAGACUCAUUCCUAACCACCAAGUUCCUCUUCAAUGUCUCUCCCUUCUUCUUGCCAGACUCCCAGAUGAAUUCCGUGUCCCUCGUCCAGCAGACUUACCCUUCUCUCUUCCUCUGAUACCCACAAAAUGAAGCUCCUUCUUUGGGCCUGCCUCAUGUGCAUUGUUUUGGCCAAGAAGAGGCAACAUUCUUCCUCCAGUGAAGAGGACCAUGACCACAGACCACCACCACCAGCGAGGCCUUCUGGAUCGGAUCAUGAACCCCCCUUCCAUCCUAGGGCCCCCUGUCCAGCGGUUCCCCCUCCACCUCCACCAGCCCCUGGCCCUCCGGCACCCCCUGCCCCUCCAGCACCCCCUGCCAUCCCAGAACCCGUGGCUCCCCCUGCCCCUCCAGCUCCCCCUGCCCCUCCAGCACCCCCUGCCAUCCCAGAACCCGUGGCACCCCCUGCCCCUCCAGCUCCCCCUGCCAUGCCAAGACCUGGGGAACCCCCUGCCCCUCGAGCCCCUGAAAUGCUUCUUGCUAAUCCAGCCCCAGAAGCUCUCACGGUGGAGUAGUGUCAUUACCAUGGCUGAAUAAAGCUGGAAAACCUGAUUUUUCAUUCAGAUUUUACACUUUGGUGGCUUUUGAGUAAAUCCCCUCUGCGUAUGCACUCUGGCUUUGGGUGUCUGUUUUCCCACACAGGGAUCCCUGGUUGGAGAGAAGAUUUGAAUUUCACAAGCCCAGAGAAGAAAAAAUAUAUAUAAAUGUGGACAAGGAUUCUGCAGAUUUUCUGUUCCACAUCUCUUCCUUCUGGCAAAAAUGUGCCUAAAGCCUUUGGAAGCAGCUGAUCUCAGGCUAGGACUCAGAAGCAAACCACCUUCCCAGGGAACCCUACUUCCCUUAAAUCAUUUCCUCAACUUAUUCUCCUUUUUUCAUCACUUAAUUAUCAUACAGAAAGGAGUUGGCAUCCUGCAAUUACUGAGCCAACAGUUGAGAUCAGCUGCUAUUCCAAUAUGAAGUAUGAGAAAACCAAACUCGGCAAUCCAUCAGAGUUGCAAAAAGCCAUAGCUUGGAUCAUGAUGGGCAUUUUCCAAAAUACUGAGUUAUACUUUCAGUGAAAAGAAGACACUGAGCUGUUGACAUGGUAAAAAAAAACAUAGAAGUAUUGAUGAUGUAGGCUAGAAAUAUACUUCUAGGCUUUAAAAAUAUGUAUAAGAGAGACUUGAGAAAUAAAAAGCUG
Molecule: long non-coding RNA, 1678 nt
Filed under: Ornithorhynchus anatinus (platypus)
Lineage: Eukaryota; Metazoa; Chordata; Mammalia; Monotremata; Ornithorhynchidae
Description: lncRNA (ENSOANG00000045513.1)
Source: RNAcentral